Prunus dulcis (almond) is the source of this 988-nucleotide RNA transcript. It is a transcript of the gene named histone H2A, sperm-like, with no coding region annotated. Lineage: Eukaryota; Viridiplantae; Streptophyta; Magnoliopsida; Rosales; Rosaceae. The record is from RefSeq and is a predicted model, not a curated record. The transcript has 2 exons.
ACUCAGUCUCGUUGCCCUUGCUCCAAAACACAUGUCAAAGGCAUAAACAGAAACUCGCAAAUUGCCAUCGUGGCAUUUUCCCCUAUAAAAUAUUGCCUACCAAAUUACGCGAACGUGAUUUCAAAUCCCAGCGGUUCGAAACUCUCGCACUUUCCCUCCUAAACGAAUCGUUUUACCACCCUAGUCUUGAGAGAAAAAUGGAAACCGCGAAGGGGUUCAGAGGAAGAAUAGGCGGAGGGAGGAAGAAGGCAGUGUCGAAGUCGGCCCGAGCUGGGCUUCAAUUUCCGGNUGGGUCGGAUCUGCCGUUUCAUGAAAGCUGGUCGCUACGCCGAUCGGAUCGGAACCGGGGCUCCGAUUUACAUGGCUGCUGUUCUUGAAUAUUUGGCUGCUGAGGUUCUGGAGUUGGCGGGGAAUGCGGCACGUGACAACAAGAAGACUCGGAUCAGCCCGCGGCACGUGCUAUUGGCAGUGAAAAACGACGAGGAGCUGGAGAAGCUUUUAAAAGGAGUGACCAUAGCCAGUGGCGGUGUGCUUCCGCAGAUAAACCCAGUUUUGCUUCCAAAGGAGACGACGUCGUCCAAAGCCUCUUCCAAGGCUCCCAAGCUCGUCAAUCCCACCACCAACAAAUCGUCUUUUUCUGCUGCUGUAGAAGAUGCUCCCGACUUUGGGAAUGAGGCAAACGACGCCGCUUCGGAUGUCGCCGACAAUGCGUCUCCCAAUUCACCACCCAAGGAGGAGGCCUCAAGCCCCUCUUCUGGUGUUUCUGCUGUAUCAGCAACUACGUAAAUGUCAGUAGGGAACUAUAGGAAUGAAAGGUUCUUUAGUCAGAGUAGUGCACAAAUGGAAACUGAUAGUGGGUUGGUAUAUCUGAAAGAAACUUCAAAUGGGAAGUUUCUUAUUUUGUGAAUGAAAUUUAAAUGCAAUCUUCUUAUGGUGAUCAAUUGAAAUUUGGAAUGCAAAUCCUCAUAUCAAAUGGAAAGAUUUCUUA